GCGGCCGGGCCUGCGGGAGCGGAGCGGCGUGAGGGGUCCUGCUGACACCUUUAUAUUCGUUUCUCUCUUCCUGUGGAGAAGGAAGCAUCUAUGGAGAAUAUAUACCUAGUGGUUUUCCUUUAACAGGAGAAGGCACUUCAUUUCUGUUAAGGAAGUAGCAGAAACUCAGCUGUACAUGUGGUACAUGACUCCACAGAAAUUACAAAUUAGUAUGUGAAGGAGGAUAUUGGAGAUUUUUAUCUUCUGAAGCAGAGCUAAAAUGGAGGGAAAAUGAGAUGCCUGGCUCAGUG
This is a long non-coding RNA of Hirundo rustica (Barn swallow), 290 nucleotides long. RefSeq lists it as uncharacterized. The transcript is spliced from 3 exons. The record is from RefSeq and is a predicted model, not a curated record. NCBI's taxonomy places the organism in Eukaryota, Metazoa, Chordata, Aves, Passeriformes, Hirundinidae.